Molecule: non-coding RNA, 400 nt
Organism: Zonotrichia albicollis (white-throated sparrow)
Lineage: Eukaryota; Metazoa; Chordata; Aves; Passeriformes; Passerellidae
Source: RefSeq, a predicted model, not a curated record
AGAAGUAAUUUUGUUAAACUGUCUGAAGCUAAACGAACUGCAGUUGGAAAAAGCAGACAAGUGUUACACAGAAACUGGGGCUUUUUUUUCUUAAAAAAAAGUCUUUUCUGUCUCAGAAACCUGGACUAUCAUUCAUUUCAAUGACAAAUAUUUCCUCUUCCUGUAAAAUCUUGAUUUUUCCUAGUCUUAAGCAAUCAUGUCUGUGAUCAUGCUGCUGAAAUAAGGAGAUUCUGAAAGACCAGCAGACUGAGAGACAGCUGAGAUGGUGCCAUGGCUAUUAGUCUCUAGGACUUUGCACCCGAAGUUUCCUUUGUUUCAUGGACUAUCUGUGGACUCCAAGCUUUCUUAGGAGGGGAAAAGAAGAACAGGAGAAGUCUGAGAAUUCUGUCAUAUCCUAAAA